RNAcentral lists this ribosomal RNA (431 nucleotides) under uncultured bacterium. Its description in RNAcentral is "partial 16S ribosomal RNA". It matches the Rfam family "Bacterial small subunit ribosomal RNA", at positions 29 to 507 of the family's 1533-position model. The record is from RNAcentral.
AACGAACGCUGGCGGCAGGCUUAACACAUGCAAGUCGAGCGCCCCGCAAGGGGAGCGGCAGACGGGUGAGUAACGCGUGGGAACGUACCUUUUGGUUCGGAACAACUCCGGGAAACUGGAGCUAAUACCGGAUAAGCCCUAACGGGGAAAGAUUUAUCGCCGAAAGAUCGGCCCGCGUCUGAUUAGCUAGUUGGUGAGGUAACGGCUCACCAAGGCGACGAUCAGUAGCUGGUCUGAGAGGAUGAUCAGCCACACUGGGACUGAGACACGGCCCAGACUCCUACGGGAGGCAGCAGUGGGGAAUAUUGGACAAUGGGCGCAAGCCUGAUCCAGCCAUGCCGCGUGAGUGAUGAAGGCCUUAGGGUUGUAAAGCUCUUUUGUCCGGGAAGAUAAUGACUGUACCGGAAGAAUAAGCCCCGGCUAACUUCGUG